AAAACUCCCUGACUUCAGUCAGACUUUCCAGUUGCAAUCAUGGGCGUCACUGACUUCCUACUACUGAGCUGUCUGGGAUUUGCCAUCGCUGCUAAUGAAAUCGUCCAUAAUGGUACAGAACCAGGCAUUAACUGUGAAGAGCCUCACGUUGAACAUGGCUAUGCUGAUGCUCAACCCCCUUACAGACCCAAUGAUAAGGUCAAGUUCGAGUGCUCAACUGGGUAUAAAAUUAAAGGGAAUCCUACCAUGUCAUGUGAGGCAGAUGGUAAUUGGUUAAAUCCUCCCCCAACAUGUAUCUUUGACACUCUUGUACUACUUUAUGUUGGAGUGGCAAUACUUGGUGCUGGUGCCACUGCCUAUGUAUGCGAUCGCUCUGGAGUCGGAGCACGCAUCUGCAGAUCUCUGAAAAAUCGCCGUCAGAAGAGACAAGAGGGGAAUGUCACAAACGCUGAACAGGAAGAACUUUAAACGGAUGUUGUAAGUCUGAGGGAGCAGCCAACUGGCAAUACUCAAGCCUCGCGGGGCACCUUGGACAAGUCACCAGUUCUGAGCACGAAGUUCGAAAAUGUGGGCAGAAGCUUUUAUAUAUAUAUUUUUUUAAACUGUACCAAACACUAUCAGUCUACCUCCUCCCUCCUACCACCGCCUACCAUCUACCUCAAAACUCGCCACACUCUUUACACAUGUCACAUCUGGUAAAAAAAUUUAUACUAUAAAAACUCUAUAGACUCAUAAUGUCCCCUAACGCUGGGUCAUGUGACCAAAAACCUUAUUUGAUCUUCAUGAAAUUUGCAGGACUUAGAGGUCUCAUCGAUACAGCCUGGAAUUAAUUUUGAGGAAUUUUGUGCCCCAACAGGAAGUCAGCCAUCUUGAAUGGCGUGCAUCUAUUUUUAUUUUGCCAACACAGUUUAGAGGACUUUAGGAUGUUUUCAGACUCACCAAAUUUGGCACAAGGUUCAAACUCUGAGUAUUUUAAUUUGAUAUAACAACUGCCCUCAGGUGCGGCACAACACCUCAGUAGCGCCCCCUAAUGGCCUUUCCCCAUUUUGUUCAUACAGAGAAACUCCUACACACACCAAAGUUUGCACAUUCAUCACGAGUCACGAACACGGAUAUGUGCUCGGGUCUGGGCCUUUUCAGGGACCAGAUGGCUCCACGGAACCCCCUGAAAGAUUUCAAACUUGAAGCCCCGCCCCCUACAUGCACCUACACUCACAACAUUCGGUAUGCAUAUAUAUCAUGACCAGACACACAAAAAACCCUGUUGGACCCAUACCUUCAGUCCAACAGGAAGUCUGCCAUUUUGAUUCACAGUUGAGAUUUUACCACAAAUAGUCGCCAUUUGUCUACCUCGUACUUUAAUAAACUUCUACAGAUUUAACACCAAAGACUUCAUAGUCAGUGAGUAUCAUUCUCAGACCUUGAAGAUGAAAAGUUAUUAAAAUCUUUUGCCUCCGUUAUCCCUGAUGUGCGGUUGAUUUCGAUGCGUCGCCAUAAAGCAGGAAGUCCUUAUAACUCUAACAUACACUUUCCAAUCUACACCAAAUUGGUCACACAUUUAGAAGCUGUCGCCCUGAAUACGUCUGUGCAUCAAUACCGUGUCAUAUCUGUUGGGGAAAAAUAUGAUUCUCCCAGGACAUUAUGUCUCCUUACAAUAGGAGGUCAUACAUGUCUUGUACAGACAUUAAAGUCUGGAUAAGGAGAGUGAUGGAAUAUUAUUGAUCCAAAUCUAGCGAACUGAUGAUGAAGACGUGUAAGGUGCGGUUAGUUGAAAUGACACACACAAAGUCACUGUGAUAUCAUUCUCUAUUUUUUUCCUCAGGUUUACAUUACUAUGAUGAUUUUUUUUUUUAUUUUAUGGUUAAAAUGAUUCCAAUCCAAUUUCAUUCAGAUGUUUUGAUAUUCAGUAAUAAGUGCACUAGUAAUUUUUUUCAAAUGUUUACAGCUAUACUUUUAUAUUUGUUGUUUGCCUUAAUAUUAUAUUGUAAGAAAUUAACAAAUUGCGAUGAAUAAGAUCAACUCAGGGAAUUGCAGCAGAAGACAACAUCAUGCCAUCUUGUGAUCGUGCUAGUAACCUCUCCAAGGUAGCGGCCCCCUACCUAAAUCUAAGAAACCUAGAUAAUUACAAUGUGUUGAUCUAUUGUAUUAAUCUGUUUUUGCCUAAGAAUCAAAUAUAUGCAGUGUUUUAUAUGAUCCUUUUAAAUGCUGUCUAAUUUAUUUUUUAUUUUUUUUAAAUAUAGCACAAUUUCUGUAUGCUGAACUGUGUGAAGAUGUAAAAAUGUAAUUGAUUUUGUAUUUGAUUUGAAUGUAAGUGAAUGCCGGUAUUCCUGCCACCCCGUAAGGAGGCCUUCGAUCUAUGUUUACAGACUAAGUGUCUCUGACCUAUUUUACCUCAUAGUCUUCUGGUCGGGGGGAAUUCUGCAUCACCCCCGUUGCCAUGUUGUUAAACAGAUAACCCAUCCAUGGAAGCACUGCCUCCUGAAGCUGUAAGAUAUAAUUGGGAACAUAUAAUUGGACAUUGGGGAAGACUCAUUAAGAUUAUCAUGGCAACACACUGUGAAGACAGACUUGCUGUUAUUUUGCUCCUCCAUGAUCAUGCUUUAUAAAUUAUCUCAAUGUCUCUGAGUCUUCUUCAUCUCUCCUGAAUGGUGAAAUGAGCCGAAAUUCAAUUUGAAACAAACAAUUUGAAUUGAAAACAAAUGAGCUGAUAUCAUUUGCAGUAGGGGAAAAAUGAUUAUAUAUUUUAAACAAUGUAUUACAUCUAGAAAUGGUUCUGUAUGUUUAGAUGAAGGGAGUUUACAGAGACAGAGAAGAACAGACAGUUGGUUGUUUUAUUCAAACAUGAAAGAUGAGCCAUCUGAAAUGCGGCUAUGCACAAGUCAGCUUGUAUAAUACAGCAAUGUAUGAUGUAUAGUACAGCAAUAAUUGAAUCAAUUCUUUGAUAUGGAGACAAAGAAAAAUGUGUUAACUUUAAGGCCUAUAAAUGCUAGAAAUUAAACUUGUGGAUUUGAUAUUGGAGUUUUGUUUUUCCAGCUCAAAGUCACACUCACCCCAAAUAUUUUAGACAUGCUAUGAUAAAAUAAAAACUUUUAGAAAGCUUAUUGAAUUAAAUACAAACUGAGAACUGAUAAAAAAAAUCCAUCCCCUAACAUUUCCUGUUAUUACAGUGCCACCUGGUGGACUUCACCCCAUUUGUCUAAAUGAUGCUUUGAUCAAGUUGGCAGAUGGACAUCUAGUGGUGGUGGUGUUACAGUACAAUACCAGAGAAAUUACUUCAGUCACUUCAAUGGUAUUUUGGGUACAGCCAUAGGAUUCUGUAGGGUACCAUGAAGUUAAACAAACAAAUCCACGACAUGAACUGGGAGGUGAGAAUGGAUUUUUUUGUCAAAGGAUACUUCAGAUCAGACUUCAGGUCUUUUCAAAUCAGUUUGGGACUUGAUUAGUUCUGGAUUAUGGCAGACAAGCUGUAGAGAACCAUCUUGAGGUUUUUCAGUUACUUCAAAUGGAUAGGAGAAUUCUGCAAUGCUGUUUUCUCACAAAGCCACAGAGAUAUGUUGACUACAAAAGUCAACCUAACUUUCCAUCGGUAUGGGAGUGAGGAAAAUGGUGAGUGAAUUUUAAUUGUUGGGUGAACUUUUCAUUUAAAAUAGCUCCACAAAAUAGACAAGAGAGCCAUUUUGGUAUUUACUGCUCCGCUUGGGAUCUUUUGCGUUCUUAGUGAUAUUUCUGUGCAUUGUAAUCAAAUGUACAGAAGCAAGAAAGAGGUGAGUCGAGAGGAAGAGGGGGGCUCGCUUAGGGACGGAUGCUCCAUUUGGCUAAGUGACCUGCAUUUUCCAGUGGUCGUUCUUUGGAAGUCAUAUCAGCUCCUGUGUUAUUGGUUUGGUCGCUGUAUUUUUUAUACCAAGGUUCUCUGAUAAGGUGGUGAUUCUGAGUCUGGG
Molecule: long non-coding RNA, 3938 nt
Organism: Sparus aurata (gilthead seabream)
Lineage: Eukaryota; Metazoa; Chordata; Actinopteri; Spariformes; Sparidae
Source: Ensembl